RNAcentral lists this ribosomal RNA (735 nucleotides) under uncultured endophytic bacterium. Its description in RNAcentral is "bacterial SSU rRNA". It matches the Rfam family "Bacterial small subunit ribosomal RNA", at positions 771 to 1504 of the family's 1533-position model. The record is from RNAcentral.
AACCGGAUUAGAUACCCUGGUAGUCCAUGCCGUAAACGUUGGGAACUAGAUGUAGGGGCCAUUCCACGGUUUCUGUGUCGCAGCUAACGCAUUAAGUUCCCCGCCUGGGGAGUACGGCCGCAAGGCUAAAACUCAAAGGAAUUGACGGGGGCCCGCACAAGCGGCGGAGCAUGCGGAUUAAUUCGAUGCAACGCGAAGAACCUUACCAAGGCUUGACAUACACCAGUAACGGCUAGAGAUAGUCGCCCCGCAAGGUUGGUGUACAGGUGGUGCAUGGUUGUCGUCAGCUCGUGUCGUGAGAUGUUGGGUUAAGUCCCGCAACGAGCGCAACCCUCGUUCUAUGUUGCCAGCACGUGAUGGUGGGAACUCAUAGGAGACUGCCGGGGUCAACUCGGAGGAAGGUGGGGAUGACGUCAAAUCAUCAUGCCCCUUAUGUCUUGGGCUUCACGCAUGCUACAAUGGCCGGUACAAAGGGCUGCAAUACCGUGAGGUGGAGCGAAUCCCAAAAAGCCGGUCUCAGUUCGGAUUGGGGUCUGCAACUCGACCCCAUGAAGUCGGAGUCGCUAGUAAUCGCAGAUCAGCAACGCUGCGGUGAAUACGUUCCCGGGCCUUGUACACACCGCCCGUCAAGUCAUGAAAGUCGGUAACACCCGAAGCCAGUGGCCCAACCCUUGUGGGGGGAGCUGUCGAAGGUGGGAUCGGUGAUUAGGACUAAGUCGUAACAAGGUAGCCGUA